CAGUCAACUUGCCGGAAGUCGUUUUCACUCUUGUGCUCUGAGCAUCUGUAUCCGUAUGUGAGAUCCGGGGUUCACAUCCACUACUGCUUUGCUUUGUGCUUCAACCCUCGCCCCUCGUUCUCGUUUGCUGUCACUCUGUUUAGCUGAGGUUUGCCAGUGUAGUUGCUGUUGGAAGUUUUCAUCAUAACACGCGAUUUAAAAUUUACUGAUCAAUCGAUUUUCUAGACUAUAGUUGUGUUUCCGUUGCUUAUUGAUUCGCUGGCUCGCAUUGUGAGAAUGUUUAAGUGACUAGUUUCAGCCGAGCAGUCUAUUUCAGUGUGUUUUGCGAUUUCAUUUGGUAAAUUACAGUUUUGUGUCAGUGCUUCUGAAGCGUGCUCUGUGGUGUUUAGAGAUUCCAAACACCUUACCAGGAGACAAAAAAGAAGCCCACGUCAUAAGCAUCGGUGUUUCAAUAUGAAUGGUGAUGGGAUUGAAUGCACCGUCUCCACGAAGUGUUCGAGAUUGACGUCUACGGAACGUCAUCUCGGCGCUCAACCAGGCGAUCAGCCUUACGUGUGCUCAGUAUGCCAGGAGACGUUUUCUACUGGUCAGCUGCUUGAAAGGCACCUCAGCGUACACACAGUUGCCAAGCCGCACGAGUGCGCAGUGUGCCAGAAGAAAUUUGCUAGGGGCGAUCAUCUCAAAAUUCACCUUCGCACACACACAGGGGUAAAGCCGUACGCCUGCACAGUCUGCCCCACGAUGUAUACUUCAGGCCAAGAUCUAAGACGUCACCUUCACACACACAGGGGAAAAGCCGCUGGAAUGCACAGUGUGCCAGAAGAGAUUUGCUAGGGACGAUCAUCUCAAAAAUCACUUUCGCACACACACAGGGGAAAAGCCGUACGCCUGCACAGUCUGCCCCACGAUGUAUACUUCAGGCAAAGAUCUCAGACGUCACCUUCGCACACACACAGGGGAAAAGCCGCUGGAAUGCACAGUGUGCCAGAAGAAAUUUGCUAGGGACGAUCAUC
This is a long non-coding RNA of Frankliniella occidentalis (western flower thrips), 1013 nucleotides long. RefSeq lists it as uncharacterized. The record is from RefSeq and is a predicted model, not a curated record. The transcript is spliced from 4 exons. NCBI's taxonomy places the organism in Eukaryota, Metazoa, Arthropoda, Insecta, Thysanoptera, Thripidae.